AAAAACAAUUUCAAUUAGCAAAAGAAUAAUAAUAAAAAGAAAUAAAGAAAAAUCAAAUCAACGAAAAGAAAAAAAAAACAAAUCAAUUCAAAUCUGGUGGGUCACUCAAAUUUAUUUCGGUGUCUUCUCCAUGUGGUUGGUAUUCUAGAUAUGGCUUUAAUCUUUGACCAUUAACUUUAAAUGUGACACCGUUCUUUGGGUCCUUAAUUUCAAUUGCCC
RNAcentral lists this long non-coding RNA (219 nucleotides) under Citrus sinensis (sweet orange). RNAcentral describes it as "long non-coding RNA (CSIN_LNC004308)". Lineage: Eukaryota; Viridiplantae; Streptophyta; Magnoliopsida; Sapindales; Rutaceae. The record is from RNAcentral.